This is a long non-coding RNA of Alligator sinensis (Chinese alligator), 2360 nucleotides long. RefSeq lists it as uncharacterized. The record is from RefSeq and is a predicted model, not a curated record. The transcript has 3 exons. NCBI's taxonomy places the organism in Eukaryota, Metazoa, Chordata, Crocodylia, Alligatoridae.
CGGGAGCCCUGGGACCGGCUGUCGGAUGUUCUGGGAUGAUCCUGAACUUGGGGACGUUUGUCCUGAAUUUGAACCGUGGGUCCUGGAGCCGCCACCCCUGCUGCAGUGGUGGCCCCCUCCAGCUCUGCUGUCUGCACAGGGCCCCCUGGCACCACAUGCGUGGCAGGGCUCCUGAUGCAGCUCAAAGGCAGCUACACUCCCUGGCUCCCAAAGUUUGUGCAGGUGACUGCAGGCAGGACCACGCGUGGGUUCACAGCUGGAAGCCGGGCUUCUAGGGGUGCGGACACGGGAAGGCCUGGAGCCCUUUCCAAAGACCAGCACCUGGUCCCCUCUACUUGCAUGCAGCCGAACAAGUCAAAUGCAUCAAAAGCCCCAACACUCCCCCUGGAGGAAGGAGCAUUGAAACUGGAUCCUCAGAUGCUGCUGUUUGGCCCCUGCUACACGUUACAUGUAUAACGCAACGGACUGGUGAAUCGCGCAAGAAAUGUAGAGCCGCCAAGGUGCUCCCAUCACCUGGAGCGAGUGGUCCCCUGCACUGCUGGACGAGACGCAAGGAACCGGCCAGUCCCCACUCCCAGCCUGAAGGUCCCAUCUCGCUGGGUCAGCCUUGCACUUGUCCAGCCAGGGCGAGAAGGGAAGUCACCGGCUGAGGGGCGAGCAGGAGACUUGGGCAUUGGCAGGGGCCAGGCUGUGAUAGCAGCAUGGAGCAGGCAGAAGGGGCCUGCGUUUUUCAGCAACAACGGCUGGAAAAAGCAGCUCCCCGCUGCUCGUAUGAGACCCGGCCAAAAUCAACAGGCUUGGCUCUGUCUGGGGGCUGGAUCUCGUCUUUGGCAGGGGACGGGCUUGACUCGAGGGCCUGUUCCCAUCCGUAACAAGGAUGUUACAACAGAGCUGAUUCUCCUUCCUAGGGGCUGCGGCCACCGUGGAAACACCAGCGCUCGCUGUCCCCAGUCCCAGCGCUCUGCAGGGCUCUUUCCAUUGCAACAGGCUGGGGAGCAGACCCCUGGCACAAGCACCCCCCGCAAGGGCACGACCUGCACCCCAGAAGCUUUCAGGGUUGGAAGCACAAGGAAGCCCUCCCUGGGGGGCUGUGAUCCAGGGGAGCUCUGCACACACGUCCAUGGCAGGACGGGCUCUGAAGCGAGCUAUUCAUAGCAGAGCCGUUGCGAUGCUCCGUUCCCUCCCUGGCAGCUGCACAAGAGGCAACUGGCUGACUUCGCCUACUUAAAUAUGUUUCGGAGGAUCACAGAAGUUCAAGGGUAAGAAGCGGAAGCUUGUAUUUGCGGUGCCCUUUCGGAGAGGAAGGUCAGACUGAAAAUCUAUGCAUCUCACUAGUCAUCUUGCUUUUGGGGUGGAUCAGAGCGGCCAUUUACAAAAAUAGAAAUACCCAAGGUGGAAUUAAAAACCCUGUGAAACCAUCCAUCUCAGAGAUGAAAGCUUCCGUAAGUCCAAAUACCCACCUCCUACCUUCUCCGGUAGGGUUAUUCAAUGCUAAUUCAAAUUGUAUUUUUUUUUCUGCUAAACAAAUAGCCAGACGAUAACUCAUUUUGGACCACAAAGAGAUUCUAAGGAGAAGCGUCUCUACCUUUCCAAGAGAGAUUUACGGGCUCUUCCCAUCCUUUUCACCCAGGCUGCCUCAACAGAGGCAAAACCAGAAAGCUGCCUUGUUUCGGAUGAGUCUACAAAGCGCCCUGCAGCUCGCGGGGCAGGGACUUCUCUCCACCAGACCUAACUGUCCUGCUGUACGAAGGCUUUUAAAAAUUAAAACACCUGCUUUGCAAGGUCCUAAGCGUCCGUGGCUUCAGAGCCCCCAGAGCCCUGAUACACACAAUAAAAUAGCCUUGGAAGGUAGGUCAGACCCUCCUCCCACACUCAGGGUGGUCUGUAGCUUAUUAGUGUAUCCCAGCCCAGAGCGUACCAGUCUGGAUCCAGUGCAUGUAAAAGACAAAUGGACUGAAACCAGCCCCAACCCCCCCCCAUCCCUCCUGCAAUGCCACUCUGCACGUGAAGGGCAUUCCUAACCUGUGCCCUCCACAGCAGGAAGGACACCCUCCCGAAGGCAGCCCACUGCAGCAGCUGCAGUUUGCUGAUGCCCACGGUCUGGGUGGCGAGGCCGUGGCUACCCCAACUGCCCUCCGUGCAGCUGUGCACGGGCCAGUUAGACCUCAUCCAGCACUUGCUUCCCCCCCACCCUUCACGGUUUGCAAAGUCUCUCCCGAUGGGUUUGCAGUGACGCGCGUUCCCUUCCCUUCACAGUGAGAUGCCCCCGUCCUCAGAGUCCUGCUGGCAGGAGGGACGGGCGGCUGGGAGCUGCAGGGAGCCUUCUGCCCUGGGAUACCCAGGCCCCAGAAACCUUCUCA